UACUUGCUCGUCCAGUGGUCUAAGACCGU
This 29-nucleotide non-coding RNA is filed under the name Bombyx mori (domestic silkworm). The record is from RNAcentral. Lineage: Eukaryota; Metazoa; Arthropoda; Insecta; Lepidoptera; Bombycidae.